GGGGGGGUUGAGGCUUUUCCAUUAGUUCUU
Molecule: unclassified non-coding RNA, 30 nt
Filed under: Dictyostelium discoideum
Lineage: Eukaryota; Evosea; Eumycetozoa; Dictyosteliales; Dictyosteliaceae
Source: RNAcentral